Phragmites australis (common reed) is the source of this 4329-nucleotide RNA transcript. It is a transcript of the gene named pentatricopeptide repeat-containing protein At3g02330, mitochondrial-like, with no coding region annotated. The record is from RefSeq and is a predicted model, not a curated record. NCBI's taxonomy places the organism in Eukaryota, Viridiplantae, Streptophyta, Magnoliopsida, Poales, Poaceae. The transcript has 2 exons.
UGGAAGAUGUAUAGGAAACUAUGGGCCGCACGAUAUCUAAAGCCCAGUAGCUAAUCCCCACGAGCCGCUUGAUUCCCGUGGCCAUUUUCGAGCAAGGUCGUGCGCCCGCCAAUGGCGCGGGCUGCGGCGCGGCAGUGGCAGCUUCCACGGUUCUCCGCUCCUCCACCUAUCGCGUCGCCUCCCAUUAGCACAUGACCUCCACCUCCCGCGUCGCGUGCUCCCCGAGCUCCCGAUGUCGCGGCCGCCUACGCCCGCGCCGGGGCCGGGGCCCCUCGCCAACGCCUCCUUCUCCCGCCUCUUCCAGCACUGCGCCCAAGCCGGCCGCGCGGCACUCGCCGCGGGCCGCACCGCGCACGCGCGCAUGCUCGUGUCCGGGUUCGUCCCCACGGCCUUCGUCUCCAACUGCCUCCUCCAGAUGUACGCGCGCUGCGCGGGCGCCGCCCGCGCGCGCAGGGUGUUCGACGCGAUGCCCCACAGGGACACGGUCUCGUGGAACACCAUUCUCACGGCGUACUCUCACGCGGGGGACAUCGACACAGCGGUCUCGCUGUUCGAUGCGAUGCCUGACCCGGACGUCGUGUCAUGGAACGCGCUGGUGUCGAGCUACUGCCAGCGUGGCAUGCUUCGGGAGUCGGUGGGCUUGUAUCUCGAGAUGGCUCGCCGCGGUGUUGCCUCCGAUCGGACGACGUUCUCUGUCCUGCUGAAGGCGUGCGGUGGUUUGGAGGACUUGGCGCUCGGUGUUCAAAUCCAUGCGUUGGCAGUGAAGACGGGCCUAGAGGUUGAUGUCCGGACCGCGAGUGCUCUUGUGGACAUGUAUGGCAAGUGCAGGAGUUUGGAAGACGCACUGUGCUUCUUUCGUGGUAUGCCUGAGAGAAACUGGGUCUCGUGGGGUGCAGCUAUCGCUGGAUGUGUUCAGAAUGAGCAGUACACGCGUGGGCUGGAGUUGUUCGCGGACAUGCAGAGGUUGGGACUCGGGGUGAGCCAGCCGGCUUAUGCCAGUGUCUUUAGAUCCUGCGCAGCAAUGUCAUGUCUGAGCACUGCUAGGCAGUUACAUGCGCAUGCCAUAAAGAACAAGUUUAAUUCUGACCGUAUUGUUGGGACAGCCAUUGUGGACGUGUAUGCUAAGGCUAAUAGCUUGGUCGAUGCUAGAAGGGCAUUCUUUGGUUUGCCCAACCAUACCGUGGAGACAUGCAAUGCCAUGAUGGUUGGGCUUGUACGUGCAGGGCUUGGAGUUGAGGCCAUGGAACUGUUUCAAUUCAUGAUCAGAUCUGGCAUUGGUUUUGAUGUAGUCAGCUUGUCAGGUGUUUUCAGUGCUUGUGCUGAGGUUAAGGGGUAUUUUCAAGGGUUGCAAGUCCACUGCUUAGCAAUUAAAUCAGGUUUUGAUGUGGACGUUUGUGUCAGAAAUGCAGUUCUUGAUCUGUAUGGGAAGUGCAAAGGAUUGGCAGAAGCAUACCUUAUCUUCCAGGAGAUGGAGCAAAGAGAUUCGGUCUCUUGGAAUGCUAUUAUUGCGGCUCUUGAGCAAAAUGAGCGCUAUGAGGAUACUAUAGCUCAUUUUAAUGAAAUGCUGCGCUAUGGUAUGGAACCUGAUGAUUUCACUUAUGGUAGUGUUCUUAAGGCCUGCGCAGGUUUACAAUCUUUAGAGUAUGGAUUGAUGGUUCAUGACAAAGUUAUCAAGUCGGGACUUGGUUCAGAUGCUUUUGUAGCGAGCAUUGUCAUUGACAUGUACUGCAAGUGUGACAUGAUUAUGGAGGCUCGGAAACUUCAUGACAGAAUUGGGAGGAAGGAACUUGUUUCGUGGAAUGCCAUCAUUUCAGGAUUUUCACACAGCAAACAGAGUGAAGAAGCACAGAAAUUCUUCUCGAAGAUGCUAUAUAUGGGACUAAAGCCUGAUCAUUUCACAUAUGCAACUGUUCUUGAUACUUGUGCUAACCUGGCCACCAUUGAGCUCGGGAAACAGAUCCAUGUUCAGAUUAUCAAGCAGGAAAUGCUAGGAGAUGAAUACAUAUCCAGCACUCUUGUAGACAUGUAUGCUAAGUGUGGAAACAUGUCAGACUCGCUGCUAAUGUUUGAGAAGGCACAAAAACGGGAUUUCGUGUCAUGGAAUGCUAUGAUAUGUGGCUACGCACUCCAUGGCCAAGGAGUAGAAGCACUCAAGAUGUUUGAGAGGAUGCAAAAAGAGAAUGUUGUGCCCAAUCAUGCAACUUUCGUUGCAGUGCUUCGGGCAUGCAGCCAUGUUGGGCUGCUGGACGAUGGAUGCCGCUACUUCCAUCUGAUGACCACCUGCUACAAAUUGGAACCACAACUGGAGCACUUUGCUUGCAUGGUGGAUAUACUAGGACGCUCAAAGGGCCCACAGGAAGCUCUGAAGUUUAUCAGUAACAUGCCUUUUGAAGCAGAUGCAGUCAUAUGGAAGACUCUCCUAAGCAUUUGCAAGAUCCGUCAAGAUGUCGAGGUGGCUGAACUUGCUGCCAGCAAAGUUCUACUGCUGGAUCCUGACGAUUCUUCAGUUUACAUUCUUCUCUCAAAUGUAUAUGCAGAAUCAGGGAAAUGGGUUGAUGUUUCAAGGACAAGAAGGCUAAUGAGGCAGGGGCGGCUGAAGAAGGAACCUGGUUGUAGCUGGAUUGAGGUGCAAAGUGAAAUGCACGGUUUCCUUGUAGGAGAUAAGGUCCAUCCGAGAUCGAGGGAGCUAUAUGAGAUGUUGAGUGAUUUGAUUGCUGAGAUGAAACUCUCUGGAUAUGAGCCUGAUUCAGCUUCUGUUGUUGAGGUUGAUGAAGAGGGGUGUGCAUCUGAGCAAGAUGACUUACUUGGAAUUGUUGGUGAUUAAUCUGUUUUUUGUAAAAAGUUUCAGUCUACUAAUUUAUGAAGCUCUGAGAAUACAUAUAAAUUUAGGAACCGAGUCUAGCUCAGUUGGUGGGAGGUGUGGGUGAACACCUCCAUCAUCCAGGUUCAAGUCCUCUUUAACUCGAAUUUGGGUGCCUAUUUCUUAUUAUUUACAAUGUCACCUAGUUCCUCCUAGGUUGGUCAAGUUUUUUUUAGAAUACAUAUAAAUUUGACAAAUUCCUCAGCAGAAAUCGUGGUACUAGAAAGGAUGCUGAGGCAGAAACACUGUUUCCCAUGGUCAUCUCACUUGCUCUUAUUGAUCUUAGGAAUGCAUGCAACGGACAGCUGUUGGCAUGAAAACAUAUAAUGACGAGAUUCUAAAACAGAAUUUGAAGAUGUUAUGCUUUUUGGCCAGAAGUUUGUUGAGAAGCUUUGGAAAUAUACAAAGAGAAUUCAGGUUCAUCAGUUGUCCAGAGAAGAUACAAGGUCCUGUUGUUGAGAUUCAAGCAUUGGCCAGCCCUAAUUGUAACAAAGAGAAGUUAUACAGGCAAGGAUGUAAACAUAACUGGAUGAAUUGCCACUUGCAGUACAUAUCUGGAGUGAACCGGAAUGCUUAUCAAAUUCAGCGAGCGGGCGUUAUCAUUUCUAUAUCGAACAUCAUCGGUUGUUUGAGUCUAUGAUCGACGUUGGAAUAGAGUAACUACCAGCUUUUGGCACUUUGCUGAUCAGAAAAGGAUCCGUCGAGUUCAGUGGUUGGGAAGGAUCCAAACCGAGCAUAGCAUUCUUAAUUUUGUCCUGAACCCGAAGCACGUUAACCUUUGUCUGUGCUUGAGCCUGAUGUUUGGACAAACCAUGGCGGUCCUUUUACUCUUUUUCCUGAGAGGAGUUCAUGCUCGUGUUGGGAUUCAGUGAGCAGCAUUCGACUCUUCUCGCUUCGUUGCCGCUGCACAUCAGCAGAGCGCGGGUGUGCCUCAAUCUUCAUCAGACGUGAACGGAUGCUGUUACGCAUGAUGGUGUGCGUCGUCUGCAUCGUUGUGGCCGAGACAUCACGCGGCCUGCUGUCACAUACCUCAAGUGCCUGACAAGAAUUACUCAACGAUUGUAUUGGAUCUCACUCACUCCAGGAUACAAUUCAGAGGUAAUAGAGAUGGACGGAGGAGGGAGGGGUAGAAGAGAGGAUACGUAAGUUCGAGAAGGUUCCAAGAAGAGGCACAGGAGAGGGAGGAGAGGUGGAAGAAGGGCAGUUAAACAUUCUAUUCGGUACCCUUCUCGGUCGCUGCUUGCCUUUUGUAGUCCACACCUUUCCCGGUGGCUAGCCCACAUGUCAGCCUACUCCUUUGGGCCCGUUUGGUUGGUAACUAGCUUUGCUAUAAAACUUUAUCUAAGGUUAGUCUUGUCACACUUUUUUUUAAAAAAAAUGACCGAUUAACAUUAGAAAAGCUUUGACAAAAAAAGAAAAAUUCUAUGAUGAGUGGACUAGGAAGCUAAGAAGUUAGGUAAGCUGAAAUU